This 570-nucleotide ribosomal RNA is filed under the name uncultured bacterium. RNAcentral's name for it is "bacterial SSU rRNA". It matches the Rfam family "Bacterial small subunit ribosomal RNA", at positions 272 to 842 of the family's 1533-position model. The record is from RNAcentral.
GACGACGAUGGAUAGGGGUUCUGAGAGGAAGGUCCCCCACAUUGGAACUGAGACACGGUCCAAACUCCUACGGGAGGCAGCAGUGAGGAAUAUUGGUCAAUGGACGAGAGUCUGAACCAGCCAAGUAGCGUGAAGGAUGACUGCCCUAUGGGUUGUAAACUUCUUUUAUAUGGGAAUAAAACAGGGUAUGCGUACCCUCUUGUAUGUACCAUAUGAAUAAGGAUCGGCUAACUCCGUGCCAGCAGCCGCGGUAAUACGGAGGAUCCGAGCGUUAUCCGGAUUUAUUGGGUUUAAAGGGAGCGUAGGUGGAUUGUUAAGUCAGUUGUGAAAGUUUGCGGCUCAACCGUAAAAUUGCAGUUGAAACUGGCAGUCUUGAGUACAGUAGAGGUGGGCGGAAUUCGUGGUGUAGCGGUGAAAUGCUUAGAUAUCACGAAGAACUCCGAUUGCGAAGGCAGCUCACUGGACUGCAACUGACACUGAUGCUCGAAAGUGUGGGUAUCAAACAGGAUUAGAUACCCUGGUAGUCCACACAGUAAACGAUGAAUACUCGCUGUUUGCGAUAUACAGUAA